UAUGUAAUUUUCAUCAAUGAUUACAUAACAUUGCACUUUAAUAUAAAGUAUGCUUGGAUUGUUUUCAUGUAUGCUAUAUAUUAUUGCAAAUUAGUUCUUCAUAAAAUUGUAUAUUUCUGCAGUGAAAAAGUAUGUAUGCAAUCAUGCAAGUUGUAGGAAAACAUGUACGUGUACUGCACAUGUACCAGGAAGACAAGAUAACAAUUAUGACUGUCAAUCAUCAUUUGCUGACUGUAUCUGUCAAGCUGACUACACAGACUAUAGUAGCCAAAGAUAAGUUGUAGAAAGUGUGUUUCAGAGUUGAAUAUAUGAAUUAAAGCAUUGGCACAGUGAAUGGCAGCUGAAAAAUUUUGACCCUUGUUUCUGGAAGUGAAAUGUUAGAUGCACAGGAAUGACCAAAGCUUGACAAUAUAACUACAUCAUAGGCCGGGCAUUGUUAUGGCUGGAUAGAAGGUUGCAAAAUGACGACAAAGAAGGAUUUAGCUUUUUAGAUCCCACAUCUUUAUUCAAUUCUCCCAGCAGAUCAUUUUGCCUUUAGAUGAAAUUCUCAAAAUUAUAUAUUCAAUAUUGAUUUAAACUAAGUAAGAUUAAAUUUAGACUUUACGUCAUAUCUGCUUUAACAAAGGAAAGAACAAGAUGGGAGGAGCAGCUGCAAGGUCUUGUAGCAGCGGUAGAAAGAAAGCAGUCUGACGAAAAAUGGCACGUAUUCAGUAUGUGUACUAGCGGUUAUAUAACAUGCCAGAAUGUUCUCGAAAGUACUGGUCUAGGAUAAGAUCCUGAAACUGCAGUAAGUUAAUUAUAGGUUGCAUGCUCGCGCAGAGCAAAGCCACUGUAUUUUCUAUAUUUUACAUGUAUGUAAUACAUAUUCUUUGUGUCUUGGUGAAUACAUUCUACCUCACUGGCAGGUAACAGAAACUGACG
Stegodyphus dumicola is the source of this 921-nucleotide long non-coding RNA. Lineage: Eukaryota; Metazoa; Arthropoda; Arachnida; Araneae; Eresidae. The record is from RefSeq and is a predicted model, not a curated record.